UGUGUGAUUUGGCGGUUAAAUCAUUCGGCACGACAGGGUCUACUCGAUAGGUCACGUUAAUUUUUACAUCCAUGCUAUUUGAUAUUUUGUAUCAUGCAUUAAGAGAUUGAUUGAUUUACAAAUGAUUGUGUGUAUUGAAAUACUAGUAUUUAUAUAUAUAUAUAUAUCUAGCGGGACGGCUACAGUGCAGGCGAUUUGGUGUCACGAUAUCUCAGUAGCAUGGGUUCGGAUCCCGGCGAGGGAAGAACAAAAAAUUUGCGAAAGCAAAUUUACAGAUCUAACAUUGUUGGGUUGAUGUUUAGACGAGUUGUAUAUAUAUAUAUUUAUGAUGACUUUUCGUUCUGAUUCGAAAUUUGUAUACAAUAAAAAUAUUUAAUGGUUGUUAUUAAACCAGCCCUCGGCUCUGUCGUGUGGUAUUGCACUUUACUCUUUUUUGUUAUUUAUUAAUAUGAUUAAUAUCAGUGGUUGU
Molecule: long non-coding RNA, 469 nt
Filed under: Mytilus galloprovincialis (Mediterranean mussel)
Lineage: Eukaryota; Metazoa; Mollusca; Bivalvia; Mytilida; Mytilidae
Source: RNAcentral